Molecule: transfer RNA, 68 nt
Filed under: Pandalus borealis (northern shrimp)
Lineage: Eukaryota; Metazoa; Arthropoda; Malacostraca; Decapoda; Pandalidae
Description: tRNA-Ser
Source: RNAcentral
GGGGUAGGUUGAAGCAAGAAGAAGCUUCUAACUUCUAACUUAAGCGGUUUAAGUCCGUUUCUACUCCU